Molecule: transfer RNA, 64 nt
Filed under: Actinomycetota bacterium
Lineage: Bacteria; Bacillati; Actinomycetota
Description: tRNA-OTHER
Source: RNAcentral
GCCGACGGAGUAGACUUGCUCCCUCGUAAGGAGCAGGUGAGCGGUUCGAGUCCGCUCGUCGGCU